RNAcentral lists this long non-coding RNA (261 nucleotides) under Mus spicilegus (steppe mouse). Its description in RNAcentral is "lncRNA (ENSMSIG00000004529.1)". Lineage: Eukaryota; Metazoa; Chordata; Mammalia; Rodentia; Muridae. The record is from RNAcentral.
AGCUUCCCACCAAAAAGGUUCCCGGCUCUGUGGUACCAGCCAAUGUCAACCUGCUAGACUCCACCUGAGGUGAUCUGCCUCCUUGUGUGGUUUGCAUAGCACCAUAUGCUGCCCCGACUGAAUUUUUUACUCAGUGUGAAAUAAUUCCUGUUGACAGGAUAACCACAAUCACAGCAGUGCUCCUGGCAGAGCCGGGCUCCCCCAAACCUGUAAAGGCCAGCAUUUCAUCGGACAGUACUUCUGGGAGUGCGCAAAGCUUGU